CAGGUGUUGAGCUAAUGUUAUCAAGCUACCUUAAGCAAAGGAAGAUACUGAUAAGAGAAAACAUUGUGUUUAUGCUUUCUGGCAUAUAAAAUAGCGCAAGUCGUGUUUGAAUGCUUCAGAAAUUAGUAUCAGAUGACUUAGGAACCUCUGGCAUAUUUGAAUCUUAAGUGGUUACAGAAAGUUUUGCUCAGGCUUUCCUUCAGUAGUUGUAUGUGUUUCUGUUUAUUUGAAGGCAGGUUGGUGGAGUCUACUAAUUCUCAGGAGAGAGGAAAAAAAUCCUGCUCUCACUGAGACUGAAUGGCAACGGGGAAGCAGAGCUUUUCUGAGGACAAGAAGUCAGCAGAUGCUGGCCUUCCUGUCGCUACCAAAAUCUGUGCAUGGAUAAGAGUUCCAAAAUGCUGUGAUGUGUGGAGAUGAAGACAGCUGAGAGGUGGUGAACUCAGCAGAGGGGAAUCUCCAUGCAGGAUAGGAUUCAUCCACCUCUACUGAUUGAUACGUGGCCAAAGGGUGUGUGAAGAAUGCGCUGAGGAGGAUGAAACUCACAGAAUUAAGAAACAAAACCCCUGACAACAAAACUAUUUGCUCAUUUCUAUACUGCAGAAAUGGUU
RNAcentral lists this long non-coding RNA (608 nucleotides) under Numida meleagris (helmeted guineafowl). RNAcentral describes it as "lncRNA (ENSNMEG00000006875.1)". The record is from RNAcentral. Lineage: Eukaryota; Metazoa; Chordata; Aves; Galliformes; Numididae.